Molecule: long non-coding RNA, 758 nt
Organism: Gossypium raimondii (Peruvian cotton)
Lineage: Eukaryota; Viridiplantae; Streptophyta; Magnoliopsida; Malvales; Malvaceae
Exons: 2
Source: RefSeq, a predicted model, not a curated record
UUUAACCCCAAAUUUUCUGAAAACCCUCAUUUCAGCAACCCCCUUUUUAAAAAAAUUUCAAAAACCCUCUCUGUCUCUUGAAUGUCCGGCCAUAAUCGUCGCCGCCGUGACCCAAGACCGGCGAUGCACAAAACAGGCUUUUUAGCCUUCGUCGAAAGGCGUCCUUGAUAGUGGAGCUCUCUCGACCUACGAAACCAAAGAAAAGAGGUCUUCAACCCCUCCUUAGGCCCGAAUCGGACUCGGAGAAGAAGGCCUCCGACGGCGAGGUUGCGGCCGUCCGAUGGCUGACGUGACAGUGGCGGCGACGGCGAGCAGGGCAGGUGGUGAUGGGGCAUGCGGCGGCAGAAGCAAGUGGAUGACCCUAGGUGCGGCACACCUAGGGUUAGGGUUGUUGUUUUCUGAUUUGGGUAGUUGGGCUUUAAACUUUGGGCUUUGUAAUUGAGUUUUGGGUUUAGGUGAUUUGGGUGUUGUAUUGGGCUGGUGGGUUAGGUUUAGGUGGGCUUUGUUGGGACUCGGGUCAUAAAAUUGGGCCCUACAAUAAUAAAGUUUUAAAAGUUUUCAUAAAAAAAAAUCAUGGGUGUUGUGGAUCUAUUUUAAGGAAUGUGUCUGUUGAGGUAUGAAGUUGGUAAUAUAUGUUUUUUAUUAUUAUUAUAUUUCAUUAUGCGAAGAUUAUGGUAGGGUUAGUGUGGAGAAAUUAAAUAUGUUCAUGACUUGGGGAUAUAUAUUUUUUGUUAUCUAUGUUUUAUUUCAUGUAGUAA